CGAAGUGCUGGGAUUACAGGUGUGAGCCACCAUGCCUGCCUGUCCCAUUUCCCCAUUUUAAAAAAGUCACCUGCCCGAUUGGUUUUCAAAGCUGCCUUCACUCAAAGAGGGCCUGGAGGGUAGGAAUGACUCAUACAGUCAUUCAUUGUCUGUGCCCGCUUUUCAUAGCACAAAAGAUAGGUCCUUCCCAUCCCGCCCAUCCUCUCCCUGCUGGUCAUCUUGUAUGCGGAGAAUCCAAGGAUCUUCUUACCAAUGAGUUCUUGCCGCUCAUGAGCAGGUGAAGGAGUGGAGCUGAAGUGGAAAUAAUCUAUGGGCUGGACUGUCUAGACAGCAUUUGCUCCUCUGGAUAGGGAGGAGAGCAGACAGAAGCGGGCUUUGGCCAAACUGAAACUCAAGCCAUCACUGCCAGCCCUUCCUGAGCCAUCUCAGAUGAGCCUUGUCUCUGGGCCACAGCCAGAAUUGGCCUGGGCUGUUUCUCACUCCUAUUUCAAAGGAUUUGUGCUCCUAGCAGAGGAAAAGCUUGAACAUUUACAGUGAAAAAUUUAGUAGAAGGGGGAAGAAACAGAGGGUCUUUCUUUCUUUCUUUCUUUCUUUUUUCUUUCUUCUUUUCCUUCUUUUGUCUUAUCUUUUGGUUUUGGGGCAGUGAAAGAAAAUUAAUUUUUUAGCUAUAAAACUUUGUCUUAAGAUCAGUUUUGGAAAGAAAAGCAUCUACUAAUUGAAAACGUCACUUUUCGGGCCCUUAAGUCAAGGGAAACAGGUGCAAGUUUGUGGUUUUAGACACAGCAUUUCUUUUGGAAAAAAGUAGUAAAAGUACCCCAGAUAAGUUCUCUCCAAAGCUGGAUAGAUUUUUAUUUUUCAGCCCUUUAUUACAUAGAAGGUGACAGAUUAGCUGAAAAGUUAAAAGAAAAAUCAACUCUCACCCUUGUAGGUAACACUCCAAUCUCUCUCUCUCUUUUUUCUUUCCAAGGCUGAAGAGAGGGCAACUGUUUACUGCAAUUUUGAUAAAAUUCCCUUUCAAUACGGCCUGUUCCUGGAUAGAGUCCCACCUUUCAUCUGCUUUUAUUCCUAAUCCUGUGGCAAAGCCUGGACCUCCCUUUUCUUCUCAUACAAGCUCGACAGAGCUGGCAUUUUCCUUCUCCAUUUCAGUGACAUGUUUUUCAGUGUUUUGUCUGUUUGUGAAGGGGCAGAAAUGUCAAGGUCAAAAAAGUCUUGGAAAAAAUGAGUAGUAUUUCUGUACCUGCUGAGGGUUAGGUGCUUGGAUGUUAUAUAUCUCUGCAUUCCCACAGUAAAACCAUGUGUGGUUGGGGAGCUUUUCCUUUUUUAACCUCUCUGGGUGGUUGAGGAAUUGGAGGCUCAGAGAGGAGAAGUGACACAGCCCAAGGUGACGCCACCAGGAGCUGAACUUGAAAGCCAAGCCAAGUCCGUCUGACCAUCAAGCGUUGCUCCUAUAAUCAUACUACCUUGCCUUCUGCCUUUGUAAACAUGAGGUGACACAUCAAGCUAGGGCUAUUAAAAUACCCAGAAGCACUUUUCUUCCAAAUAACUCACAAUAUCUUGUCUUUGGGAAGUAUUCAAUAGGUUUAUUUCAGUAAAAGAUACACCAUUGCCAUGGUUUUAGGGAGUGAUUCUGAAUUUUAUGUUACUGAUUAAGAAAGAUGGUUAAUGGAACCUGUUUCCUUAAGAAAUUUACAUCAUAUAUUAGUAAGCUGUUGCUGUGUAGCAAAUCACACCAACACUUAGUGCCUUGAAGUAACAACAUGUAUUAUCUCACAAUUUCUGUAGGUGUGAAAACUGGACAUCAUUUAGCUGGGUCCUGUGCUUCAGGGUAUCUCACAGGCAGCACACAAGGCUUCAUCUGGGCUAUACUCAUCAGAAGGCUGGAUUGGGGAAGAUCUGCUUCCAAGUUUACUUACAUGGUUGUUGGUGGGAUUCAGUUCCUGGUAGGCUGCCAGCUUUAGCUCCUCAUUUCCUGAUGGCUGGAGGGUUCCCUCAGUUCCUUUCCAUGUGGGCCUCUCCAGCAUGGCUGCUUGCUUCAUCAAAGUGUACAAGAAGGGAGACAGCAAUAGGAACAUGUCAGCAAGAUGGAAUCCACAGUCUUUUUAAAGCUAACCAUGGAAGUGAUAUUCCAUCACUUUUGGUGUAUUCUGUUUGUUAGGAACAAGACACUAGGUCCAGCCCACCACUCAAGGUAUGGGAUUACACACGGCAUGAAUACUAUGGGGUGGGGAUCACUGGAAAUUAUGUCAGCAGCUAUCUGUCACACAUGAGAGAAGUGGAGAUGGUAGUCAUAAUAAUAGUCAUCAUCAUCAUAAUAAUAAGGCUGGUGAGGAUAGCCAGCAUUUAUUGGGUGUUCUUGAUGCAUCAGGCACUGGGCUAAAUCCCUUCUAUGCAUUGUCUCCUUUAAUCUCCUCAUCACUCUCAUUAACUUCCCUGAGUUACUACAGCAAAGAGAUUAGGACCAGACUCUGUUGUUUCCACUCCGAAGUCCAUCCCUUUACAUGAUGCAGAUCAUUGAUAAGAAUCCACUGAGCUGCUGAGGCUCCAGGAAAGACCUGAUUGAGAGAGGAGUCUGAUAAACGAAGCUGAACUCACUGCUCCUCAGAAAACUGCAAAUGAACACAACCAGAAGCCAUUUCUUACCCAUCAGAUUGGAAAAGAAAAUAGCAUUGAAAUCAUAUAGCAGCAUCAUCCAGACCUGCAGAAUCAUACGUGAUCAUAGCCAGUUCACACUGAAAAAAGCCUUGUAGGAGAUUCGCCAACCUAAUCAUUCAGCUUACAGGUGCCUGAAACAAAGAAAAGAAAUGCAGAUAAUUGGAUCUUCAUGACAUUUUCCCAACUGGCCACUUUCCCUGUAACAAGACCAAGCCUGUCUCUUCCAUUGUACUCUCGUGAGCUACCUGGGUCAGAACCUGAAAUCUUGGCGCAGAAGUCCUGUGGCCUGCCUAUAAACUUCUCAUUCCCGGCAGCUGGCACAUGCAUGGCCCAAUAAAUAUUUCUUGAUUGAAUGGAAGGAGCUGUGAAUAGUGGCCUCCUCAAGCAAAGGACAUUUUAUCUCCCAAAGGGAAAUCUACUUUGUUGAUAUGAAAGUGAGCUUCUUAAUAGGUCUACGGGGCAACAUUUUGCUAACCCCAUUCAAAUUAUAACAGACUUCAAAGUCAUAAAGGCAGUAAUAUGCUUCCUUUUAAGUGUGUAAUUUGUAUUUUUUUACACCCAGGAAUGGAAAACAGGGAGUGAAAUAUCCCCCAAUUAUUAUUUUGUGCUUUUGAGGCAGGAUGGCCCACUCACCUGUGGGGACUCUGGUGGCCAAGCACCUCCCACCUCAUUCUUGGCAAUUGUUUUCAUCUGCCUCCCUUCACACUGGCCCUAGCUCAGGUCUGGAAUCUUCCCAGGGUCUGACCUCUGAGUGUCUGUCUCAUGCAAUUCUGCUGCCCUGGUAUUGACUCUCAGGACACAGAAGUAUACUCUCUGCCACAUUCAUGACCACCCUGGGUGACGUGUCAAGGCAUCUUAGUGCAGCCCUGAGUCCCUUGGAGGGAAAUGGCCCCAGUCUGCUUCCUGUUUGAGGUAGCUCUGUUCUGGAUCACUUGGUCCUCCCCUCUCCCUCCUGCCACUGCUGAUUGCAUUGUGGUGAUCACCCCAAGGUCAUCCCAAAGGCAGGCUGCCGUGUAGAGCCUGGCUUGGCACAGGAGGCCCCAGCCAAUGAUCUCUGAUGCUGACCUCAUGCUCCAGGUGCCUGAAACAAAGAAAAGAAAUGCAGAUAAUUGGAUCUUCAUGACAAUUUCCCAACUGGCCACUUUCCCUGUAACAAGACCAAGCCUGUCUCUUCCAUAUGGGUCAGCCAUAUCCCACCCACUCCUCCUGGGAUUUGACUUGGGGAAUGUGGACAGAAUCACACAGUCAGUAGAAGUUGGAAAGUAGGCGGAAGUGGCCACAUGGGGUAGGGACAUAUCAGAGUUAUGAUGAAUCAGAAGCAGAAGCCCCAAGUUGAAGAAGAGAUACAAAGCUUGGAAGCAGGAAGAGAUGGAGCGGACACACAAAGGAAUCCAACACUGGAGAACGGCAACGUAAAGGUGGCGUGCUAGGGGAAAGCUCCAGAAUUCCUGCAGCUGGGCGCUGGAGCCACCCUGAACUUUCAAAGACCUCCCUAUUCCAGUCUCCACAAUCCCAGGUCCUGGUAUGUCCCUGGAUUUGGGGGGAGAUUCUGGCUCCUUUGUAGCACCACAAUAAACCCUUAUUGCCUGAGUUAUCCCAAGUGACUCCCUGUUCUUUAUGGGCUCACAAGCCAACACACCAAAAGUAGCCACCAUCAAUGGGUUGGGGGCCCACACCAGCACUGGGGGGGGACAGGGGAGGUUCCAAAUAGCUAGCUCCUCUCAAAGGUUCUAAUACCCGCAGAGGUGGUUUAACUCCUCAAAGGUCUAAGCUCCAUUUUCUUUUCUUUUCUUUUCUUUUUUUUUUGAGGCAGAG
This 4467-nucleotide long non-coding RNA is filed under the name Homo sapiens (human). RNAcentral's name for it is "HSALNT0330944". The record is from RNAcentral. Lineage: Eukaryota; Metazoa; Chordata; Mammalia; Primates; Hominidae.